AGUGAACGCUGGCGGUAGGCCUAACACAUGCAAGUCGAACGGCAGCACAGUAAGAGCUUGCUCUUACGGGUGGCGAGUGGCGGACGGGUGAGGAAUACAUCGGAAUCUACUUUUUCGUGGGGGAUAACGUAAGGAAACUUACGCUAAUACCGCAUACGACCUACGGGUGAAAGCAGGGGAUCUUCGGACCUUGCGCGAUUGAAUGAGCCGAUGUCGGAUUAGCUAGUUGGCGGGGUAAAGGCCCACCAAGGCGACGAUCCGUAGCUGGUCUGAGAGGAUGAUCAGCCACACUGGAACUGAGACACGGUCCAGACUACUACGAGAGGCAGCAGUGGGGAAUAUUGGACAAUGGGCGCAAGCCUGAUCCAGCCAUACCGCGUGGGUGAAGAAGGCCUUCGGGUUGUAAAGCCCUUUUGUUGGGAAAGAAAAGCAGCAGGUUAAUACCCCGCUGUUCUGACGGUACCCAAAGAAUAAGCACCGGCUAACUUCGUG
This 492-nucleotide ribosomal RNA is filed under the name uncultured bacterium. RNAcentral's name for it is "partial 16S ribosomal RNA". It matches the Rfam family "Bacterial small subunit ribosomal RNA", at positions 29 to 507 of the family's 1533-position model. The record is from RNAcentral.